UGAGGAAUAUUGGUCAAUGGACGAGAGUCUGAACCAGCCAAGUAGCGUGAAGGAUGACUGCCCUAUGGGUUGUAAACUUCUUUUAUAUGGGAAUAAAGUGUUCCACGUGUGGGAUUUUGUAUGUACCAUAUGAAUAAGGAUCGGCUAACUCCGUGCCAGCAGCCGCGGUAAUACGGAGGAUCCGAGCGUUAUCCGGAUUUAUUGGGUUUAAAGGGAGCGUAGGUGGAUUGUUAAGUCAGUUGUGAAAGUUUGCGGCUCAACCGUAAAAUUGCAGUUGAAACUGGCAGUCUUGAGUACAGUAGAGGUGGGCGGAAUUCGUGGUGUAGCGGUGAAAUGCUUAGAUAUCACGAAGAACUCCGAUUGCGAAGGCAGCUCACUAGACUGCAACUGACACUGAUGCUCGAAAGUGUGGGUAUCAAACAGGAUUAGAUACCCUGGUAGUCCACACAGUAAACGAUGAAUACUCGCUGUUUGCGAUAUACAGUAAGCGGCCAAGCGAAAGCAUUAAGUAUUCCACCUGGGGAGUACGCCGGCAACGGUGAAACUCAAAGGAAUUGACGGGGGCCCGCACAAGCGGAGGAACAUGUGGUUUAAUUCGAUGAUACGCGAGGAACCUUACCCGGGCUUAAAUUGCAUUUGAAUAAUCUGGAAACAGGUUAGCCGCAAGGCAAAUGUGAAGGUGCUGCAUGGUUGUCGUCAGCUCGUGCCGUGAGGUGUCGGCUUAAGUGCCAUAACGAGCGCAACCCUUAUCUUUAGUUACUAACAGGUCAUGCUGAGGACUCUAGAGAGACUGCCGUCGUAAGAUGUGAGGAAGGUGGGGAUGACGUCAAAUCAGCACGGCCCUUACGUCCGGGGCUACACACGUGUUACAAUGGGGGGUACAGAAGGCAGCUACCUGGCGACAGGAUGCUAAUCCCAAAAACCUCUCUCAGUUCGGAUCGAAGUCUGCAACCCGACUUCGUGAAGCUGGAUUCGCUAGUAAUCGCGCAUCAGCCAUGGCGCGGUGAAUACGUUCCC
Molecule: ribosomal RNA, 1017 nt
Filed under: uncultured bacterium
Lineage: Bacteria
Description: bacterial SSU rRNA
Rfam family: Bacterial small subunit ribosomal RNA
Source: RNAcentral